This is a long non-coding RNA of Bombyx mori (domestic silkworm), 1264 nucleotides long. RefSeq lists it as uncharacterized. The transcript is spliced from 2 exons. NCBI's taxonomy places the organism in Eukaryota, Metazoa, Arthropoda, Insecta, Lepidoptera, Bombycidae. The record is from RefSeq and is a predicted model, not a curated record.
AGCUAACCUAACCUAACCUAAACUGCUCAAGAGCACCUGCUUCGAGAAUGAAUCUACUAGCGGAUCGGAAUCGCGACCCGCUGAGAAGAUCCGGCGAGUAGCUCACUGUCAUUGGUUAGUUUGCACGUCUAUAUAUAUCUUCUCUAUAAUGUAUAUACCAAAUAGAAAUAUAAACAGUAAAAAAAAUUAAUUACUCGUUCGAAAACAGAAAUUUUAUUACUGCUCGAAAAUGACAUAAACCGUAACGUAUCUUAUCAGUACUUUGAAAAACAGCUAUGUAGGUGAAAACUUAAUGACAUUUCUUUUAAAACUGCAUAUUAAUUUCUUGGUUAAACAAGUCAUCUAUCGUUUUUAAGGCCACGGUAGUUUAUGAGAAAUGUAAUCUCGGUUUAGUUCAAAUUGAAAAAAAAUAUCCUUCUAAAUAGUAUUUCUUAGAUUUUACUCCUGAAAAACCAAUUUAACUUAGAACUGACGCUCAUGCUGUAACGCUAGAAAAAUUGAAUUGAAUUUUUUUUAGAAAUUGACGCCAUCUAGCGUAUACGUGGCGCAGUGUGGAGAAAUAAAAUAAUUUUAAAACACUAAGUAGUUCUCUCACUCGACGCUGCAUGACGUGACUGUGCGAUCUUGUCUAUAGUUCGAAGGUGAGAUUGGCACAGCCCUAUUAGGCAGAAUCUUCGAGAACCGUCAGACUAUUGCUAUAAAAGGACAAGUCACUUUGUCCGAGUCCUUUUUCAAUCAACAUCUCUCGAGCUGCAGUGAAAGUUUUGUUACGCAUUUACCUGAGUCAAUUAAACAGUUCCUUGGUGUCUUAUAUUAAACCAGGGUCCUAAUAACUAGUACAUUAUAUGUACAUCAGUUAGGGUGCGGAGAGUGACUUUUAGAUCACCUUCGAGAUCCCGCAGUACCUUUCUGCGUGGACGCUGCCGGAAGCGAGGUACUCUGGCUAGGCGAUCCAAGAAAGAGUACUUGACUACGGUAGACCAAGAACACACCUGCAUACCCAGCCUUGCUCGGAUCCAUCAACCCCAGUUGCUGGGAAGCAAUCCGGUGAACCUUCAUCGUCCGUUUGUUAACUAAACUGGUGAAACCGUCAUUGUUUCUAGUAAUUUAAUUUUAAACUAAUUUCGUUGAUAACUUUCUCGUGUGUUCGGUGUACCUACCGACACACAUGUAAUAUUGUACCUGACCACUAAUUUAAUCUUUGUAAACUAUUAUAACAAUUGUAUCCGUGUUAUUUAAAUAGAAUAAACACUGCUUUGUUAUA